Molecule: ribosomal RNA, 850 nt
Filed under: marine metagenome
Description: bacterial SSU rRNA
Rfam family: Bacterial small subunit ribosomal RNA
Source: RNAcentral
AGAGUUUGAUUAUGGCUCAGAACGAACGCUGGCGGCAUGCCUCAUACAUGCAAGUCGAACGAAGUCCUCGGACUUAGUGGCGCACGGGUGAGUAACAUGUGGGAAUCUACCUGAAGGUUCGGAAUAACUGCGGGAAACUGUAGCUAAUACCGGAUGUGUCUGCAAAGAGAAAGAUUUAUCGCCUUCAGAUGAGCCCGCACUAGAUUAGCUAGUUGGUGAGGUAACUGCUCCACCAAGGCUACGAUCUAUAGCUGAUUUGAGAGGAUGAUCAGCCACACUGGGACUGAGACACGGCCCAGACUCCUACGGGAGGCAGCAGUAGGGAAUAUUGGACAAUGGGGGAAACCCUGAUCCAGCAAUGCCGCGUGAGUGAAGAAGGCCUUAGGGUUGUAAAACUCUUUCAUCAAUGAUGAUAAUGACAUUAGUUGAAGAAGAAGCUCCGGCUAACUUCGUGCCAGCAGCCGCGGUAAUACGAAGGGGGCUAGCGUUGUUCGGAAUCACUGGGCGUAAAGCGUAUGUAGGCGGAUCAAAAAGUUAGAUGUGAAAUCCCUAGGCUCAACCUAGGAACUGCAUUUAAAACUAGUGAUCUAGAAAUUGGGAGAGGUUAGUAGAAUUUCCAGUGUAGAGGUGAAAUUCGUAGAUAUUGGAAAGAAUACCAGAGGCGAAGGCGACUAACUAGACCAUUUUUGACGCUGAGAUACGAAAGCGUGGGUAGCAAACAGGAUUAGAUACCCUGGUAGUCCACGCAGUAAACGAUGAGUGCUAGUCGCUGGGACAAUAGUUUCAGUGUCGAAGCUAACGCAUUAAGCACUCCGCCUGGGAAGUACGGUCGCAAGAUUAAAACUCAAAU